Erythranthe guttata (spotted monkey flower) is the source of this 532-nucleotide non-coding RNA. The record is from RefSeq and is a predicted model, not a curated record. NCBI's taxonomy places the organism in Eukaryota, Viridiplantae, Streptophyta, Magnoliopsida, Lamiales, Phrymaceae.
CUCUCUCUCUCUCUCUCUCUCUCUUGUUUUUCGGUUCCUCCUAAGCAAAAAAAGAUAAGCUUCUGUAAAAAUCAGAAUAUAUAUUAGACUGAGAGAGGGAUUUGGAGAAAUGCAAGUUGUUUUAAAGUGAAAGGGGUUCAAUACCAAGAACGAGAGCUCUUAUUACACAAUCCUCAAGUGAUUUGAGCCAUAUGUCUGAUUACACAUCACUCAGCAGCCAAAACCGCCUCACACGCGCCGAAUGUCCAACCUAUCUCCUGAUUCUCCGGCUGCCAAAUCGACUACACACUCGGUGAGCGUGGAACCACCGUCUUCGCACAAUGAAGCCCCUACACCGUCUUCUCUCUCUCUCUCAUUCACCAUUGCUUAAGAAUUGUGAAACUUCUCUUUCUUUCUGCAAAACCUAUUUCUAGGCAUUGAAAAUUUGUGUUUAUGCUAACGAGAUUAGCCCAAGAAUUUUCUAAAUUUUGAGUGUAUGAAUUAUGUUUGUAUCUGGACAAGAAAUAGAACUCAUUAGAUUGUUUAUUGUUAA